CGCCGGCGGUGGCAGGAGCGGGCUUCAAGCCGGAGGACGGCGA
Molecule: transfer RNA, 43 nt
Filed under: Alexandrium margalefii
Lineage: Eukaryota; Dinophyceae; Gonyaulacales; Pyrocystaceae
Description: partial Selenocysteine transfer RNA
Source: RNAcentral